This is a long non-coding RNA of Lagopus muta (rock ptarmigan), 1270 nucleotides long. RefSeq lists it as uncharacterized. The transcript is spliced from 3 exons. Lineage: Eukaryota; Metazoa; Chordata; Aves; Galliformes; Phasianidae. The record is from RefSeq and is a predicted model, not a curated record.
GGUGGAUCCUGGCUCCACCUCUACCAGACCUCAUUAAAGGGUUGGCAGUGAGAGGCAAAGUUAUCUUUCUGGAGAUCUCUGAAUGCCUGAGAGCUUCUGAAGUUUUAGUCCUGUUUCUUGAAGUUGGCCCAGCAACAUGAAAAAACAAUGAAGAGUAACAUUAGAAGAUGUUAUGUAACUCAAUUCCAAUACUGACUGAAAAUGUAUAAAGGAAUUCUAAGGAGGGUUAAUUCAAAACACUGGAAGAAUAUUAAUGGUUACCAUAUUUCAAUGUGUAAUAAGGAAGAAUGUCAUAUGGGAUGCACCAAAUGAUAGCAUCACUGCCUGGGGUGAACUACUCUCUCUGCUCUGCAAGACUCUUACAACAGCUUGGGUUAAGUUAGAAAUGUGUUAAAAGUGGUCUCAUGCUACUCAUACUUUCAUUUUUUCCUUUAAAUUGUGGCUAGAAUAUUCCUCACAAUCCUGGGAUUAAUUCAUUCAUCAUUCUGUAAGCAGGAAGAAAGAAUGUGAAAAAGCUUUACGCUUCCACAUGCAUAUAUUCUCUUGUAGUAGCUUUCAGUUUCAUACUAACUCACCAGCUGGAAUGAAACAUUAGAACAAACUGUGGUCUCACAGGAGCCUUCAGCGUUCUGAGACAAUGAACAGUGUUGUAUAAAUGGAUGGAUAUUCUUUAGUCAGUUUGUAUCAGUUUUCACUACAGCAUUAUUUCUGGUCUAGUCUUCCUCAAGGUGGAGUCCAUUAAUAUAUUUUGUCUAGUUAUUGCUUGGAUUUAUUUUUGUUUUUGUAUCUUUGUGCCAUAUUGAUGCAAGUUACAGCAUACAUAUUCCUGAAAGGAAUACAAGCGAAAUGAACUAACAUAAGUUGCCCAUCUUGCUGCUGGCUUGCCAAUAUCAGCCAUUCUGCUUGAGAAUUUCCCGCUGUAUUAGGGUAAUGUCAAUCUGAUGAAUAUGUUAAUAUAAUAAUCCUUAUUUUUCUAUUCUAGUACUAUAUGUUGUGCAGCCAAUGCACUCUUCUGCUGCAAACAGAAACGCUUCUCGAUUCCUCACUCUAUUGUCUAAUCCUAUUUGCCUUAACUUCCCUAAAUUUGUAUUGGUUUCUAAAACACCUUUAUUCAGUUUAGUAUUGAUUACAUUUGUAAGUUAGGAAGGUUUACAGUGAAUGGUGGCAUCUGUUGUUGCUCUCUGGCUUUCUUUUCAUACAGUUACAAUUUUUUUUUUAUAGGAGAAGACCAGAAAUUAGAACAAGAAGCCAGAGUGGCUUCUCAGGUAAA